RNAcentral lists this ribosomal RNA (441 nucleotides) under uncultured bacterium. RNAcentral describes it as "partial 16S ribosomal RNA". It matches the Rfam family "Bacterial small subunit ribosomal RNA", at positions 338 to 795 of the family's 1533-position model. The record is from RNAcentral.
CCUACGGGAGGCAGCAGUGGGGAAUAUUGCACAAUGGGCGAACGCCUGAUGCAGCAACGCCGCGUGAAGGAAGACGGUUUUCGGAUUGUAAACUUCUGUUCUUAGUGAAGAAUAAUGACGGUAACUAAGGAGCAAGCAACGGCUAACUACGUGCCAGCAGCCGCGGUAAUACGUAGGUGGCAAGCGUUGUCCGGAAUUACUGGGGGUAAAGGGGGGGUAGGCGGGAAGCCAAGUCAGCUGUGAAAACUACGGGAUUAACCUGUAGACUGCAGUUGAAACUGGCUUUCUUGAGUGAAGUAGAGGUUGGCGGAAUUCCUGGUGUAGCGGUGAAAUGCGUAGAUAUUAGGAGGAACACCAGUGGCGAAGGCGGCGUACUGGACUGUAACUGACGUUGAGGCUCGAAAGCGUGGGGAGCAAACAGGAUUAGAUACCCCUGUAGUC